RNAcentral lists this small RNA (124 nucleotides) under Marmota monax (woodchuck). Lineage: Eukaryota; Metazoa; Chordata; Mammalia; Rodentia; Sciuridae. The record is from RNAcentral.
GCUGGGCUGGUGAUGUAUGCCUGUAAUCCCAGCAGCUUGGGAGGCUGAGACAGGAGGAUCGCUAAUUCAAAGCUAGCCUCGGCAACCACACGGCACUAAGGACCUUAGUGAGACCCUGUCUCUA